GCAAAGAUAAAAACACAACGCAGAGGCCGCCGCGCAGGAAACACACCGCCAGGCGCCCUGCAGAGCCGGUAGGUAGUCCGGCCGCACCGGAAGCCGUCCGGUGUAAGUAACCCUCCCUCCUUGGGUCGUCCGUUCUUUGUGCAUU
RNAcentral lists this non-coding RNA (145 nucleotides) under Candidatus Ventrisoma faecale. RNAcentral's name for it is "yjdF RNA". It matches the Rfam family "azaaromatic riboswitch aptamer (yjdF RNA)", at positions 5 to 92 of the family's 101-position model. Lineage: Bacteria; Bacillati; Bacillota; Clostridia. The record is from RNAcentral.